Molecule: ribosomal RNA, 363 nt
Filed under: Salmonella enterica
Lineage: Bacteria; Pseudomonadati; Pseudomonadota; Gammaproteobacteria; Enterobacterales; Enterobacteriaceae
Also listed under: 2 other names
Description: partial 23S ribosomal RNA
Rfam family: Bacterial large subunit ribosomal RNA
Source: RNAcentral
GGUUAAGCGACUAAGCGUACACGGUGGAUGCCCUGGCAGUCAGAGGCGAUGAAGGGCGUGCUAAUCUGCGAUAAGCGCCGGUAAGGUGAUAUGAACCGUUAUAACCGGCGAUACCCGAAUGGGGAAACCCAGUGUGAUUCGUCACACUAUCAUUAACUGAAUCCAUAGGUUAAUGAGGCGAACCGGGGGAACUGAAACAUCUAAGUACCCCGAGGAAAAGAAAUCAACCGAGAUUCCCCCAGUAGCGGCGAGCGAACGGGGAGGAGCCCAGAGCCUGAAUCAGCAUGUGUGUUAGUGGAAGCGUCUGGAAAGGCGCGCGAUACAGGGUGACAGCCCCGUACACAAAAGCGCAUGUGCUGUGAG